Long non-coding RNA from Sorghum bicolor (sorghum), 1603 nucleotides. RefSeq lists it as uncharacterized. NCBI's taxonomy places the organism in Eukaryota, Viridiplantae, Streptophyta, Magnoliopsida, Poales, Poaceae. The record is from RefSeq and is a predicted model, not a curated record. The transcript has 4 exons.
GGCCUCCUUGUCUGGAUUCGUCAUCCACUCCACCGUGUCGGAACAGUGCCAAGAGCGCCUGUGGUACCGAUGGCUGUGUCGUCUUGUCGGAACAGUGCGCAUACGGCUCUGCCAUCCCAUCGUUGAGAGCACGCGCGGCCAUCCCCGCUCUGCCAUAAGGCUCGCCCGUGCGGAGCUCUCUCUCGUCGCGCCCUGGCAUUUGGGACUCAGGGUUAGCGGCUCCCUGUUCUUUUAUCUCCUUCUCAAUGUUGAGUACGACCUCCCUCGCUCUCCUGUUUAGAACCCUAGAUCUCGAGUCUCAUAUGUGUCUUAGGUUCUUGCGGAUUUGGUCGUUGAGGUUGGAGUCACGCGCGUGAGCCGUCCUCAUUGUUCGAGGAAAUACUGACAUUGGAGUGUAAGCCGUCCUCAUUGUCUGAGGAAAUCUGACUUUGGCGAUGGCGACAUAGUUCUGCUUGUGUCUUUGAUCUCAGAUAACUCCGAAGAAAGAUGAAAAUAUGAAUUUGCACACAGUAAAUGCAGUUUCAACGACCAUCAGUCCUCCAGUUGCUCCUGUGAGGUCACCAGAGACACCAAAAAAUGGUGCUGACACCCUUACACCUAAGGUAAAACUUUUCUGCUAAGUGAAGCAUCUUUUUUUCUUUUACUUUGGAACUCAUUCCUUAGCAUUUGCUUGAGUUUGCAUGGUACUCGAGAUACCAGAUCUGAAAUAUAAUGGUAAUCUUUUCCUAUGUGCUUGAUCGCAUGCUAGUGAGAAUCUAGGGGGUGGCUGUACAAACAGGACACAAAAAGAGUGGUACAAAAAAGUGACAUUCACAACGUGAAAAUUUGCUUAUUUGUUUCCAUAGUAAAUAUGGGAUCUUAACCUAUGGAUGAUUACAAUCUACUUAUAGGACUCGCCCUUCCCCUACUAAAAACACACACAAAGAAACUCUUCCAAGAUGGUGACCUUGGAGAUGAUGAUGGUGAUGCCUCUGCCAAUGAUGAGGCUAAGCCAGGAGCAAGCAAUGCUUAGCCACCAAGAAUGAAAAAGGCACCAACCAUUUUGGCUCAACCAUAGCAACCAGAUCUUUUGUGUAUGGUUAUUUGAUAAGAUUCGCUUGGUAUUUUGCAUCAAAGAAACCUGCUACUGGUUUUGUCGACUGCAUAUUUUGUUAUCAGGAACGGCAACGCUGCAUUUGCAUUCGGGAUUACAGCCUAUCUUUCUACCUUUUAAGAACAACACCUAGGUGCAAAAAUAAGUUUAUCUCUCUAAGAUUCUUCAAUGCUUAAAGGUUCACUUCAUAGCGAGCAAGGACAAACGAGGCAAUGCCUUCAAAUGCAUAGUGGUUUCGUCCUCGCCUCGUUUGGAAAGGGUUGUUUCUCAGUAUACUGAAUAUGUUUGUAAUUUGUUUGGCUGCUAAAAGCGUGACUUCAUUAGUAUCAUAGACUUGUUUUGGUUGGAUGAUAACUUUGGAUUAGUGUUCAGAACUGCUAGAGCCUUUGCUGUACACAAGUUCUGAUCCUCCAUGUAAUAUGUAAUUGCACAGAAUCUUAUGGGACUGCAUAUAAUAUGUCGUUAGAAUGACUAUGGUCUGCAAGACUAUGUUCCUUACAUAUUGUACCU